ACGGAGGUUCCAAGCGUUGUUCGGAAUUACUGGGCGUAAAGGGAGCGCAGGCGGAUAGGUCAGUUCAAAGUGGAAUCCCAGGGCUCAACCCUGGACGUGCUUUGGAUACUGCCUAUCUUGAGUUCGUGAGAGGAAAGUGGAAUUCAGGGUGUAGCGGUGAAAUGCUUAGAUAUCCUGAGGAACACCAGUGGCGAAAGCGACUUUCUGGCACGAAACUGACGCUGAGGCUCGAAAGCAUGGGUAGCGAACGGG
This 252-nucleotide ribosomal RNA is filed under the name uncultured bacterium. RNAcentral describes it as "partial 16S ribosomal RNA". It matches the Rfam family "Bacterial small subunit ribosomal RNA", at positions 525 to 776 of the family's 1533-position model. The record is from RNAcentral.